Molecule: ribosomal RNA, 478 nt
Filed under: Botrytis cinerea
Lineage: Eukaryota; Fungi; Ascomycota; Leotiomycetes; Helotiales; Sclerotiniaceae
Description: eukaryotic LSU rRNA
Rfam family: 5.8S ribosomal RNA (bases 126-279)
Source: RNAcentral
AGACCUCCCACCCUUGUGUAUUAUUACUUUGUUGCUUUGGCGAGCUGCCUUCGGGCCUUGUAUGCUCGCCAGAGAAUACCAAAACUCUUUUUAUUAAUGUCGUCUGAGUACUAUAUAAUAGUUAAAACUUUCAACAACGGAUCUCUUGGUUCUGGCAUCGAUGAAGAACGCAGCGAAAUGCGAUAAGUAAUGUGAAUUGCAGAAUUCAGUGAAUCAUCGAAUCUUUGAACGCACAUUGCGCCCCUUGGUAUUCCGGGGGGCAUGCCUGUUCGAGCGUCAUUUCAACCCUCAAGCUUAGCUUGGUAUUGAGUCUAUGUCAGUAAUGGCAGGCUCUAAAAUCAGUGGCGGCGCCGCUGGGUCCUGAACGUAGUAAUAUCUCUCGUUACAGGUUCUCGGUGUGCUUCUGCCAAAACCCAAAUUUUUCUAUGGUUGACCUCGGAUCAGGUAGGGAUACCCGCUGAACUUAAGCAUAUCAAUA